UAAAGAAUGACAUGGCCUGAUUGUCAGCAAUUUUUAUUUCUGCAAUAGUGUAAAAAUGUUUGAGUUUUAAUACUAUUUAUUAUUUCAAAAAGAGAAAAUAUUUUAAAGUUUUAAAUGAUAGCUAAAAUUACACCUGAAAGCUAGAAAGAGCAAAUACAUAGAAUACUUCUCCCUCUUUUUAGAAUUGCAUUCGAAAAUAUGUUUUCAUUCAAAAAUAAGCUGAUGGGGAUGUGCUUUUAUGUCUUUAGUGACCUUUACAGAUUUACUCCUCAGGUUUUUUGAGUUCAUAGAAUCAUGGAAUAAUUCAGGCAGGAAGGGACUCCAAAGAUCACCUGAUUCCAAGCCUGCUGCCGUGGGCAGGGACAUCUUUCCCUAGAGCAGCUUGCUCGGAGCCUCAUCCCAGAGCAGCAAUGGGCCUUGAACAUUUCCAGGCGUGGGGCAGCCGCAGCAUCUCUGAGCAACCUGUGCCAGCCAGGUGCCAGAGGAGGCAGAAAGCCCUUCCCACCCGGAGCAGCGGCCGCUGCAGCUUCGUGCAGCCUCGUGUCACCGAGCGUGCGAGACAGAAGGGCCCUUCCCGUGGAGGGAUAGCAGCACCCAAAGAUCUUUUUCGGGAAAAGCAGAGCGAUGGAACACCAAAGUAGCCUUCAGUUCUUCAGCAGGUUUGGGAACAACUUGAAGGAGGAGCAGAGCUGGCCUGGUGCCUGCCAGCUCUGCAGGCAGUGGGGAUGGAGAAGCUGCAGUUGUCUGUCUUCUCGGCCGAGUCUUUAAAAAUGAGGCGCUUUUCUGUAGCUCCUUUUCAAGCAUUACAUGAAAGUUCCCCCUAGAAGUCCAAAGGCAGCUGUUUUCUUAGCAGAAGGAAGUCUGGAAGAGGCAAAGCAGGCAAAGACAUCAGAGGAGUCUGGAUAAAAACCUUGGCUAACCUCUUUUUCCUCCCUCUUCCAAAAGGCCAGUUCUGAAGCGCUCACCAGAGAUCUGCCAGAGAUCCGGGAGGAAAAGCAGAGCCAAGCACUGAGAACUGACGUGUGAGCCCUGGUGAGGACUGCCGCUCCCUCUGCCUUGGUGUGGGACCUCCUGAGCUCCCAUUCCGAUGCUGGGAGUGUUUCUCCUCUCAUCCAGCCAAGCCAGAGACCUCCUAGGGAACAAGCAGGACAGCACGAAGACUGAACGUGUAAGAAGAUGUGGGGUGCAAUGGAGAACCUGGCAGGAGCAUCCGACGCACACGUGCACGAGUUUUGCUUUUUGCUUGGAUUGAAACUCAAAAGUUGUAAGGAAUUUGGGAAUGAGAUGGGACGUUUCAGAAGAAGAGGAAGGAGGAGAAGAAGUUGUUGUUACAGUCCUGGCAAAAUCCUUUGUUCUAGCUAAUAAAAGAAGUUA
This is a long non-coding RNA of Haemorhous mexicanus (house finch), 1374 nucleotides long. RefSeq lists it as uncharacterized. The record is from RefSeq and is a predicted model, not a curated record. The transcript has 2 exons. Lineage: Eukaryota; Metazoa; Chordata; Aves; Passeriformes; Fringillidae.